GGCACCAUCCCGGAGACGCCGCUGGACACAGUAUGCCUCAUACAGCUCAUCGAUCUGGGAAGCCGCCUGGGGAGAGCUCUCUGCUUCCUUGUGCAAGGUUCCCUCUGCAGGGGAACUCCCAUCAAGCCCCGGCAGAAGUGUUCCCUCCUCCAGGAAGCCCUAACCUCUUCCCAAGAAGCACCAUGCAGCAGUACCACUGCUCAGUACCACUGCAGCAGAAUCUCCUGCUGUCCAUGUCUGUAGGGGUCCCACCUACCCCACUGGAAGCUCCUGGAGCAGCGCCGUGUACACCAGGUCCAGCCGCUCGGGCUGCGGCACCUUGGCGGCUGGGUGAGCCACGGAAAACAUCCUGGACACUCGGGAGAGCGCGGGGGGCUUCCGUGGGGGCCCCGGCGGGCUGAAGACCGGGAAACUCCUGAAGGAGAGGCUGUCCUCAGAAAGAGGAGAGCAGGAGUCCCCCAGACUCUCACUACGCACCCCCAGACCCAGCCCCAUCUGACGCCCUUUGACCCCACCAACCCUGCGCGGCC
This is a long non-coding RNA of Homo sapiens (human), 530 nucleotides long. NCBI's taxonomy places the organism in Eukaryota, Metazoa, Chordata, Mammalia, Primates, Hominidae. The record is from Ensembl.